CUCUCAAGAGAAAUGAAAAUGAUAAGAGUGUUUUCGAACUUUUCAUUUAUUUCUUUCCAUAAACAUGAAAAACAAAAAAUGAAGAAAAUAGGAACAAUACCAAACAAAUAUGUAUUCAAAAAAGAACUGUCAUAACGGUUUCAUGAAGCCAACGCAACAAACUUUUUCGACUACUUGCAAUGCAAAUUAAUGUGUAACCAUAAACAACUCAGAACAGGGUCACCCAACAUUUCAACCAGCUAAAAUACAGCCUUUUUCACCAACUUAGGUUUUAUAUUUUCCUCACUCUCA
This 291-nucleotide long non-coding RNA is filed under the name Actinidia chinensis (golden kiwifruit). Its description in RNAcentral is "long non-coding RNA (ACHI_LNC000570)". Lineage: Eukaryota; Viridiplantae; Streptophyta; Magnoliopsida; Ericales; Actinidiaceae. The record is from RNAcentral.